RNAcentral lists this long non-coding RNA (914 nucleotides) under Lathyrus oleraceus (garden pea). RNAcentral describes it as "Pisum sativum (pea) long non-coding RNA (PSAT_LNC034758)". The record is from RNAcentral. Lineage: Eukaryota; Viridiplantae; Streptophyta; Magnoliopsida; Fabales; Fabaceae.
UAUGAGACAGCGUGGAUAUUAGAGAAUUGUUAGUAAUUUUGUAUGGAAUAAUUAGUUAGGACAAAUCCACAUUUAAUUAGUAACUCUCCCAUAAAAAAAUCAAUAAGGACAAAUUCACAUUUAAUUAUUAACUAGCCAAUAAUAUGUCAAUAGAUUAAUUAAAAUAUAUUGUUGAUACUUGUAAAUCAAAAACUUAAAAAUCAGAAUUAAUAAAAAUAUGUUUAUUCUGUAAAUAAAUAAAAAAUGUAGAAAACUAAAACAAAAAGUAUCUAGUUGGGAAAUAAUGGUUACAUUGAGCAUGCCAUUUUUAUAAUAACAGUGGUGGCAAUAAGGUUUAAAGACAUAACCUUGGAGUAUUUCUAGUAUACAUAUACACAAAAAAUGUAAAAAAAAUAAAAAAAUAAAAUAAAAAACUCCAAAUUUAUUUUUGAUUUGAAGAAAAUUGAUGUCUAACUCUAAUCCAUAAUUUGAAUCAUAAGAAUUGAGAAUGAUCUUAUUGUAUAGUCUUCAAGAUAUGAUUAUGACUUGUAGAAUAUUGUUGUGCCUUCACUUCAAAUCUAUCAAACUUGCGUUUAUGGAUUGGUUUUGAAACCAAGAAAAACUCAACACCACGAUGAAUGAGGCUAAUUAGAAUAAGAACUAAACCCAAUUCAAGGUCACCUUUUACAAUUUCGAAAUACUCAUAAACAACAUAGAAAUAAUGGUGCAAAUCUAGUAGAAAAAUUGAUAAUAGUGCUAAGGAGAAUGCAAAUAAGAGAAAGAAAAAGAGGAUGAUGAUAACUAUGAGAAGAAGAAAGAAAACGAAUGAGGCAUGAAGAAGAGCUAAGAGAAUGAGAUCUAAGUUUGGGAACAUGUUGAAUUUGAUUUUGAUGAAACAAAGUCAUGUUGGAUUGUUAAAGUAAGGGAAAAAAAUG